GAGGGCAGACACGAAGAAUGGCCUUGCACAAAAGUUCCAUUGUGAUCAUGUAAAAACAAAGCAGCCGCGACCUUUUCACCCCUCAACUCUCCUCUUUUGCUCAGGCUCACAAUUAAACGGUCAUUACCUAAGAAAUGCCCCACUCCAGAAUAAGUACAUCAGCGUGCAGAUGUAUAAAGAACAAUACAAAGCAACACAUUUGAUAAGAAACCAGGUGGUAGGCAUCUGCUGUUGUGACGAGCCGGCAGUGCGGUAUGCUGGAGCGUUUGGUUGGUAAUGCUCGAAUGUGGCCGAUAACAGUGUUAGGAUCCGCCUCUGAUUGACAAGCAGCACAGCAGCCUGGCCAGCACAUUGGAGAGAACUCUGAAUGAAGCAAAUGCGACGUGAAAACUUCCGAGGAAUGCAAGGAACGGUUUCGUUGGGCUCUUGAAAGCAUCGGCUCGAGAAGAUGAUGACUACUGCCUCCAACUGCAGGGUGAAGGUUUGAGGGCCAUUCAUUCAACCUGAUCUGAGCUCACUUCAAUCAUUUUCUCUUUGAAUGGAUUACAAGGCAAGACUCCUGGAUAACAGGAAAACGUAUUGCUAUUGAUUGAGUAUCAACCUUUCUCCCUUAUA
Long non-coding RNA from Hippocampus comes (tiger tail seahorse), 615 nucleotides. RefSeq lists it as uncharacterized. The transcript is spliced from 2 exons. Lineage: Eukaryota; Metazoa; Chordata; Actinopteri; Syngnathiformes; Syngnathidae. The record is from RefSeq and is a predicted model, not a curated record.